UGGACCUGUGCUCCGCCUCGGGGCCCAGCCCUGGCCUGACCCAGCCCCUCAGCACAGCCCAGGCCACACGGACCCUGGGUCCUGGCCAAGGAGGCGCCGGUGCUUCCCGCUGCUGCCGGGCAUCUCUCCUUCCCGGGCUUCCCUCGUUUUCUGGGCAGGAGUCUGUGGGUAAAAACGGGAGAGUGACCGGGGUGCACGUGGCCAGUGCUGCUGGUGCUCCUUGGAGAGGGCCUACUGGUGGGGGCUGGACCCCACUGCCGCCCUGCCCUGGGCGGGGCUCUUCGUGGGGAGCUCAGGGAGGGAGGCCUCGCCCCGCACUCCAGGCAGGGGACGGCCAUCGCCCAGGCAGGCCUGGGAGACGGGGCAGAGCCGGCCAUGACCAGUAACCUGCAUGGACCACUGGACUAUCUGGGACGUGACAGUGGCCAGUCCAAGGCCUUCUGUGGCCGAGUCCACCUCUCACUGUCUCUUUCACGCAGAGCCUCAUGCAUCAGCCCCACUGUCCCCCCCCCGUACAAAUCGUAAAGGCUCAGACUCACAAGCCAGCCUUUGUCACGGGCACCACGUCCACAUGUGGGCACACGCACCCACAUGCAAGUGCUGGCCUCUUCUGCCACACCCGCGUGUACACAUCUUCAUCAUUGCAAAUAGCUACUGGGCAUUCACUGUGUGUCAGGCACGAUGCCAGCACGUGACGUGGAUUCCUGAAUCUCUCAGCGGCCACAUGGAUCCCAUUUUUCCAGCAAAGAAACUGAGGCUCAGAGAAGUAUGGCAAUUUUCCUG
RNAcentral lists this long non-coding RNA (783 nucleotides) under Marmota monax (woodchuck). Lineage: Eukaryota; Metazoa; Chordata; Mammalia; Rodentia; Sciuridae. The record is from RNAcentral.